UUGAACCCAAGAGGAAACACAAAAUACAUACACAAGAGUGGAGUGAACUGAUUCAUCAUUUACUAAUGGGAUGAUUUUGGAAGAAAGGUGGCGAGUUGAUUUCACUAGGGAAACAGGAUAUGCAGCAGCAAAGGGGCAAUGGUGGGGAAUGUGCUCAGCUCAGGGCCAGAAUGAAAUUUUACAGGACCAUCCAUUCCUAGUUUGAACAUACUAGUACAGUAAUUAAG
RNAcentral lists this long non-coding RNA (227 nucleotides) under Setaria italica (foxtail millet). Its description in RNAcentral is "long non-coding RNA (SITA_LNC000165)". The record is from RNAcentral. Lineage: Eukaryota; Viridiplantae; Streptophyta; Magnoliopsida; Poales; Poaceae.